GAAUGUCGCGGUGAAUACGUUCCCGGGUCUUGUACACACCGCCCGUCCACACCAUGGGAGUCAGUAACGCCCGAAGUCAGUGACCCAACCUAUUAGGAGGGAGCUGCCGAAGGUGGGACCGAUAACUGGGGUGAAGUCGUAACAAGGUAAC
Molecule: ribosomal RNA, 151 nt
Filed under: uncultured bacterium
Lineage: Bacteria
Description: partial 16S ribosomal RNA
Rfam family: Bacterial small subunit ribosomal RNA
Source: RNAcentral